Peromyscus leucopus (white-footed mouse) is the source of this 1232-nucleotide long non-coding RNA. RefSeq lists it as uncharacterized. Lineage: Eukaryota; Metazoa; Chordata; Mammalia; Rodentia; Cricetidae. The transcript is spliced from 2 exons. The record is from RefSeq and is a predicted model, not a curated record.
UACUGGAAGUUAAGACAUCCUUCUCUUAGUAUAUUUUCUUCUCAUAGACAAGUCACUGUGCUGUGAGAUACCACAUCGAGAAGCCAUAUGAAGGAGAACUGAGGUAUAUGGGUCAGUGAUGCUUGCUGAGAAGGCACCAGACAGCCAGAAUUUACCAAAGAAGUCAGAUAACUGCAACUCCAGAUGACAUAAGGGACAGAAGAACCACUCACUAAAGAAGAAAAUUUGGAAGGGGUAUGUGUCUGUCAUUGCAGAUGGAUCCACUGAAACAUCAUGGAUUCCUCUUUGGCUCCUCCAGCCCUGGGCCAUCAAGGACACUCUGGAAGUCACCAGAAAGAUAGCAAACCUCCCUCCAGCUAAGCGGCAAAAGGAGAUAUCGAUCAUAUCACCAGAAGUGAAGUCUGCCCACCUGGGACCAAGUUACAGCUCUAUGCACCAAGGGAGAAGUUAUUUUACUAAUGACUCUGUGUUUCUGACUGGACCUUGAGACCAUAAAAGACUCAUUCAUCCAUCUGAAGAAGGGACUGCAUUUAAUUUUUCCUUGGGAUUUGAAUCACUUGCCAUUUGCAUAGGCCAUCAUAACACUUGUAUUCCUAUUAAAGGCAAAUAUGGGCUUAUGAUCUAUAAGAUAUCAGAACUACUAAUCAUAUGGGUCUCUUUUCAAGCUAGUCUCUAGAUUUUUCUGAUCAAUAUGAUGUAACUAAUAGUACAGGACAUAGUUUGUAUCUCUAUGCUUGGUGCUUCUUGGUGGCAGAGUAUUACACACAAUGCUUUCACUGUUCUAAUAUCAUUUGCUUGCUUAUAGGAUACCCAUCAAAUGACAACUAGAUUUAUCUAUAACAUCUCAAAUCAAAACCACUUUGCAUAUCCUGCAAUCAAAAACUAAAAAGGGGUGAGACAGAUGUCGCAACAUGAUCCAAGAAUGGAGUCAUGUGAGGGGAAUUCUGGGUGCUUGUGAGAAAACUCCAAGAAAACAAGAAUUUGUGACUCUAGUUUCUUCACAACACAGAAUUGUUCUUGGAAUGUAUUUUUGUGUUCCUCCCAUGUGUAGCAAAUAGGAGUGAGUUUACUUCAGGUGUUGUUAUUCAUAUGCCUCUAUGAGAAAAUAUGUGUUUUUAUUUUUGCCAUGUGUGGCUUGUCCUUGUGGUUGUAUACUUUACUCAGGUGAUUCUUCCUAACUCUCAGAGUAUAAAUUAUCUGAUGUGCUGAAUAAAGCUGACUAAUGCAUGCGA